AGCAGUGGGGAAUUUUGGACAAUGGGCGCAAGCCUGAUCCAGCAAUGCCGCGUGAGUGAAGAAGGCCUUCGGGUUGUAAAGCUCUUUUGUCAGGGAAGAAACGGUGAGAGCUAAUAUCUCUUGCUAAUGACGGUACCUGAAGAAUAAGCACCGGCUAACUACGUGCCAGCAGCCGCGGUAAUACGUAGGGUGCAAGCGUUAAUCGGAAUUACUGGGCGUAAAGCGUGCGCAGGCGGUUUUGUAAGUUUGUCGUGAAAGCCCCGGGCUCAACCUGGGAAUUGCGAUGAAGACUGCAAGGCUUGAAUCUGGCAGAGGGGGGUAGAAUUCCACGUGUAGCAGUGAAAUGCGUAGAGAUGUGGAGGAACACCGAUGGCGAAGGCAGCCCCCUGGGUCAAGAUUGACGCUCAUG
This 409-nucleotide ribosomal RNA is filed under the name uncultured bacterium. Its description in RNAcentral is "bacterial SSU rRNA". It matches the Rfam family "Bacterial small subunit ribosomal RNA", at positions 350 to 751 of the family's 1533-position model. The record is from RNAcentral.